RNAcentral lists this small nuclear RNA (106 nucleotides) under Cebus imitator (Panamanian white-faced capuchin). Lineage: Eukaryota; Metazoa; Chordata; Mammalia; Primates; Cebidae. The record is from RNAcentral.
GUGCUCGCUUCGGCAGCACAUAUACUAAAAUUGGAACGAUACAGAGAAGAUUAGCACGGCCCUGCACAAGGAUGACAUGCAAAUUCAUGAAGCGUUCCAUAUUUUA